RNAcentral lists this long non-coding RNA (204 nucleotides) under Olea europaea (common olive). RNAcentral describes it as "long non-coding RNA (OEUR_LNC004096)". The record is from RNAcentral. Lineage: Eukaryota; Viridiplantae; Streptophyta; Magnoliopsida; Lamiales; Oleaceae.
GAGGCUUUAGAAUAUCGAGGAUGCCUAGUUCAUUGAAAGGAUGGAAAGAAAAGUGGUUUUAUGUCGUACCUCAGGAUAGUGACCUUCCUUUUAGUCCUACGUGGGUUCUGCCCGACACUCCCAGGUUUUGUGAAGGCCAGGCCUAUUUUGAGUCUUUAGAAAGGCAUAGGAUGAUGUUAGAGAACCUUAAGCCUCUUGUAUAUG